UCCGGUUUGUCACCGGCUGUCACCUACAUGUCAAGCCCAGGUAAGGUUCUUCGCGUUGCGUCGAAUUGAACCACAUGCUCCGCUGCUUGUGCGGGUCCCCGUCAAUUCCUUUGAGUUUUAGCCUUGCGGCCGUACUCCCCAGGCGGGGUACUUAAUGCGUUAGCUUCGGCACAGGAGGAGUCGACACCUCCUACACCUAGUACCCAUCGUUUACGGCGUGGACUAC
Molecule: unclassified non-coding RNA, 226 nt
Filed under: uncultured Solirubrobacterales bacterium
Lineage: Bacteria; Bacillati; Actinomycetota; Thermoleophilia; Solirubrobacterales
Description: contains 16S-23S intergenic spacer region
Source: RNAcentral